RNAcentral lists this ribosomal RNA (390 nucleotides) under uncultured bacterium. RNAcentral's name for it is "bacterial SSU rRNA". It matches the Rfam family "Bacterial small subunit ribosomal RNA", at positions 527 to 916 of the family's 1533-position model. The record is from RNAcentral.
GUAGGGUGCAAGCGUUGUCCGGAAUUACUGGGUGUAAAGGGAGCGCAGGCGGACCGGCAAGUUGGAAGUGAAAACUAUGGGCUCAACCCAUAAAUUGCUUUCAAAACUGCUGGCCUUGAGUAGUGCAGAGGUAGGUGGAAUUCCCGGUGUAGCGGUGGAAUGCGUAGAUAUCGGGAGGAACACCAGUGGCGAAGGCGACCUACUGGGCACCAACUGACGCUGAGGCUCGAAAGCAUGGGUAGCAAACAGGAUUAGAUACCCUGGUAGUCCAUGCCGUAAACGAUGAUUACUAGGUGUUGGAGGAUUGACCCCUUCAGUGCCGCAGUUAACACAAUAAGUAAUCCACCUGGGGAGUACGACCGCAAGGUUGAAACUCAAAGGAAUUGACGG